Molecule: long non-coding RNA, 231 nt
Filed under: Manihot esculenta (cassava)
Lineage: Eukaryota; Viridiplantae; Streptophyta; Magnoliopsida; Malpighiales; Euphorbiaceae
Description: long non-coding RNA (MESC_LNC007075)
Source: RNAcentral
AGGUUUUAAAUACCAUUUGUAAAAUCCAGUGUUAUACCCAUGAGAUGAUUGGAUUUUUGGCAAACCCACAGCCUUCAACGGAUUUGAUAAGUCUUUACUGUCUACCGUUUGAGACAGACUAGCCGUACCAUAAGCGGGUACGAUCGCUUUAGAUUUAGAAGCCAUACAUGUUUCUCCUGAAGAGGAGGCCAUACCUUGAAGGGCUUUAAUCACUUCCGGUGAUUGGCUCAG